RNAcentral lists this ribosomal RNA (254 nucleotides) under uncultured bacterium. Its description in RNAcentral is "partial 16S ribosomal RNA". It matches the Rfam family "Bacterial small subunit ribosomal RNA", at positions 524 to 776 of the family's 1533-position model. The record is from RNAcentral.
UACGUAGGAUGCAAGCGUUGUCCGGAAUUAUUGGGCGUAAAGAGCGCGCAGGCGGUAUGACAAGUCAGAUGUGAAAGAGGCCGGCUUAACCGGCAAGGGUCAUUUUGAAACUGUCAGACUAGAGUGCAGCAGAGGAUAGUGGAAUUCCCGGUGUAGUGGUGAAAUGCGUAGAUAUCGGGAGGAACACCAGUGGCGAAGGCGACUAUCUGGGCUGCAACUGACGCUGAGGCGCGAAGGCUAGGGUAGCAAACAGG